CCUACGGGAGGCAGCAGUGAGGAAUAUUGGUCAAUGGCCGGAAGGCUGAACCAGCCAUGCCGCGUGAAGGUCAGUGCCCUAUGGGCGUUAAACUUCUUUUGUGCGGGAGCAAUAAUGGUCACGUGUGGCCAGACGAGAGUACCGUACGAUUAAGCAGCAGCUAACUCCGUGCCAGCAGCCGCGGUAACACGGGGGAUGCAAGUGUUAUCCGGAAUUAUUGGGUUUAAAGGGGGCGUAAGCUGGGGGGUAAGUCAGCGGUGAAAUGCCCCGGCUCUAGGGGGUGAAGUGCCAUUGAUACUGGCUUGCUAGAGUGCUGAUGCCGUGGGAAGAAUGUGUGGUGUAGCGGUGAAAUGCAUAGAGAUGACGCAGAACACCGAUUGCGAAGGCAUCUCACGAAUCCGCGAUUGACGCUGAUGCGCGAAAGCGUGGGUAUCAAACAGGAUUAGAUACCCGUGUAGUC
RNAcentral lists this ribosomal RNA (460 nucleotides) under uncultured bacterium. RNAcentral describes it as "partial 16S ribosomal RNA". It matches the Rfam family "Bacterial small subunit ribosomal RNA", at positions 338 to 795 of the family's 1533-position model. The record is from RNAcentral.